AAAAAAGGUAAGCUACUAAGAGCGAAUGGUGGAUGCCUUGACUGGUAAAGGCGAUGAAGGACGUACUAGACUGCGAUAAGCUACGGGGAGCUGUCAAGAAGCUUUGAUCCGUAGAUUUCCGAAUGGGGCAACCCAAUGUAUAGAGAUAUGCAUUACCUAUAUAGGAGCGAACGAGGGGAAUUGAAACAUCUUAGUACCCUCAGGAAAAGAAAUCAAUAGAGA
Molecule: ribosomal RNA, 222 nt
Filed under: Campylobacter jejuni
Lineage: Bacteria; Pseudomonadati; Campylobacterota; Epsilonproteobacteria; Campylobacterales; Campylobacteraceae
Description: partial 23S ribosomal RNA
Rfam family: Bacterial large subunit ribosomal RNA
Source: RNAcentral